This 116-nucleotide ribosomal RNA is filed under the name Hormoscilla sp. GUM202. RNAcentral also lists the same sequence under 1 other name. Lineage: Bacteria; Bacillati; Cyanobacteriota; Cyanophyceae; Gomontiellales; Gomontiellaceae. The record is from RNAcentral.
CCUGGUGCUAUGGCGCGGUGGAACCACGCCGAACCAUCCCGAACUCGGAGGUGAAACAUCGCAGCGGCGACGAUACUCUCGGGGUGACCCGACGGGAAAAUAGCUCGGUGCCAGGA